RNAcentral lists this ribosomal RNA (232 nucleotides) under uncultured Eubacteriales bacterium. RNAcentral describes it as "uncultured Clostridiales bacterium partial 16S ribosomal RNA". It matches the Rfam family "Bacterial small subunit ribosomal RNA", at positions 105 to 334 of the family's 1533-position model. The record is from RNAcentral. Lineage: Bacteria; Bacillati; Bacillota; Clostridia; Eubacteriales.
GGUAGAGUAACGCGUGAGUAACCUGCCUUACACAAGGGGAUAGCCUCUGGAAACGGAGAAUAAUACCCUAUGAAACUAUCUUACCGCAUGAAAAGAUAGUCAAAGUGUUUUAGCGGUGUAAGAUGGACUUGCGUCUGAUUAGCUAGUUGGUGAGAUAACAGCCCACCAAGGCAACGAUCAGUAGCCGGCUUGAGAGAGUGUACGGCCACAUUGGGACUGAGACACGGCCCAG